Molecule: long non-coding RNA, 308 nt
Organism: Pogoniulus pusillus (Red-fronted tinkerbird)
Lineage: Eukaryota; Metazoa; Chordata; Aves; Piciformes; Lybiidae
Exons: 3
Source: RefSeq, a predicted model, not a curated record
ACUCUGCUCCACACCUUCUCCACGUGCAGGAAGUGAAAGGCAAGAAAUCCAAGGCAAGCAAAUAUCGGUGAUGAAUGGGAUAGCUUUAAGAAGAGUUUUGUCAUGCAGACCUGCUAUUCUAGCUUCACUGGACCCAAGCUGGCCUGAACUGCACAGCUGGACAUUUGCUGCAGCUGCAGCCUUGAAGCCCACAGGUGGGAAUUACUCCAACAUAAUUACCUAGUUUCAGACAUCACCCAUCCCUAAAACUUCCUUAAAAAACAGACUGUAAAAGAUGGAAGUUCUUCACAUGGAUAAAGGAGUUAACU